This 77-nucleotide transfer RNA is filed under the name Vibrio alginolyticus. RNAcentral's name for it is "tRNA-Arg". It matches the Rfam family "tRNA". From Rfam's summary of the family: Transfer RNA (tRNA) molecules are approximately 80 nucleotides in length. Their secondary structure includes four short double-helical elements and three loops (D, anti-codon, and T loops). RNAcentral also lists the same sequence under 1 other name. The record is from RNAcentral. Lineage: Bacteria; Pseudomonadati; Pseudomonadota; Gammaproteobacteria; Vibrionales; Vibrionaceae.
GCGUCCUUAGCUCAGAUGGAUAGAGUACCUGGCUACGAACCAGGCGGUCGGAGGUUCGAAUCCUCCAGGACGCGCCA